RNAcentral lists this ribosomal RNA (429 nucleotides) under uncultured archaeon. RNAcentral describes it as "bacterial SSU rRNA". It matches the Rfam family "Archaeal small subunit ribosomal RNA", at positions 146 to 576 of the family's 1478-position model. The record is from RNAcentral.
UUAAUACUGGAUAGAUCAAAGGAACUGGAAUGUUCUCUGGUUAAAAACUCCGGUGCCCAAGGAUGGGUCUGCGGCCUAUCAGGUAGUAGUGGGUGUAACGUACCUACUAGCCUACGACGGGUAAGGGUUGUGAGAGCAAGAGCCCUGAGAUGGAUUCUGAGACACGAAUCCAGGCCCUACGGGGUGCAGCAGGCGCGAAAACUUUACACUGCGGGAAACCGCGAUAAGGGGACCCCGAGUGCCAGCACCCAGUGCUGGCUGUCCAGCUGUCCAAAUAACAGUUGUUAGCAAGGGCCGGGCAAGACCGGUGCCAGCCGCCGCGGUAACACCGGCGGCCCGAGUGGUAGCCGUUAUUAUUGGGUUUAAAGGGUCCGUAGCCGGCCUAUUAAGUCUCUUGGGAAAUCUGGCGACUCAAUCGUCAGGCGUUCA